This is a long non-coding RNA of Oreochromis niloticus (Nile tilapia), 399 nucleotides long. RefSeq lists it as uncharacterized. NCBI's taxonomy places the organism in Eukaryota, Metazoa, Chordata, Actinopteri, Cichliformes, Cichlidae. The record is from RefSeq and is a predicted model, not a curated record. The transcript has 3 exons.
UGUAUGUGUGUGUAUUCACAGUCACGUGUGGCUGUAGGUGUGUGAGCAUGUUCGCGGUGGGCUAAUGCUAGUUUAGAUGAUGUCAUCAAAGAGUAUGGAGCCAUCUGAGGUCACCUUGGCAAGUUCGACACCUUCUCACUAGCAUUGAUCUGCAAUGCUGAAUAAGAAAAAGAGAUAUAUCUAGAUGACAAGAGCACAAGGGUGACACACUGGAGCUGAAACAGAGUGAAGGACAGGGCAGAGAAGGAGCAGGACUGACUGACAGACAAUCCGCACCACCACCACCACCUCCUCUCCUGGCUGUGGGCAAGCUUUGUAUAGUGCUUACCACCACCUUGAGCUAAUUAACACAUCUAUAUGCACACUCUGAGUUUAUUAAUAAGAAAUAAACUAGUUUGC